ACACAAAUCUCUUGAGGAUUUUAUUAAAAUGUCUAUUCUGAUUUAGGAAACCUGGGGUUGGCCUGGAAUUCUGCAUUUUUAACAAGCUUCCAGGUGAUUCCCAU
Molecule: microRNA precursor, 104 nt
Filed under: Marmota monax (woodchuck)
Lineage: Eukaryota; Metazoa; Chordata; Mammalia; Rodentia; Sciuridae
Source: RNAcentral